RNAcentral lists this transfer RNA (74 nucleotides) under Bacteroidales bacterium. Its description in RNAcentral is "tRNA-Pro". It matches the Rfam family "tRNA". Rfam says of the family: Transfer RNA (tRNA) molecules are approximately 80 nucleotides in length. Their secondary structure includes four short double-helical elements and three loops (D, anti-codon, and T loops). RNAcentral also lists the same sequence under 1 other name. Lineage: Bacteria; Pseudomonadati; Bacteroidota; Bacteroidia; Bacteroidales. The record is from RNAcentral.
CGGGGUGUGGCGCAGUUGGCUAGCGCACAUGUCUGGGGGACAUGGGGUCGGAAGUUCGAGUCUUCUCACCCCGA